This 406-nucleotide ribosomal RNA is filed under the name uncultured bacterium. RNAcentral's name for it is "partial 16S ribosomal RNA". It matches the Rfam family "Bacterial small subunit ribosomal RNA", at positions 30 to 526 of the family's 1533-position model. The record is from RNAcentral.
AUUGAACGCUGGCGGCAGGCCUAACACAUGCAAGUCGAACGAGUGGCGGACGGGUGAGUAAUGUCUGGGAAACUGCCUGAUGGAGGGGGAUAACUACUGGAAACGGUCGCUAAUACCGCCUACCCUCCUAUUUGCCCAGAUGGGAUUAGCUUGUUGGUGGGGUAAAGGCUCACCCAGGCGACGAUCCCUCGCUGGUCUGAGAGGAUGACCAGCCACACUGGAACUGAGACACGGUCCAGACUCCUACGGGAGGCAGCAGUGGGGAAUAUUGCACAAUGGGCGCAAGACUGAUGCAGCCAUGCCGCGUGUAUGAAGAAGGCCUUCGGGUUGUAAAGUACUUUCAGCGGGGAGGCGUUACCCGCAGAAGAAGCACCGGCUAACUCCGUGCCAGCAGCCGCGGUAAUUC